GGAGAGGUGACCGAGCGGCUGAAGGUACCGCUUUGCUAAAGCGGCGUGGGAUGCAAAUCUCACCGCGGGUUCGAAUCCCGCCCUCUCCG
RNAcentral lists this transfer RNA (89 nucleotides) under Phycisphaera mikurensis. RNAcentral describes it as "tRNA-Ser". It matches the Rfam family "tRNA". From Rfam's summary of the family: Transfer RNA (tRNA) molecules are approximately 80 nucleotides in length. Their secondary structure includes four short double-helical elements and three loops (D, anti-codon, and T loops). The record is from RNAcentral. RNAcentral also lists the same sequence under 1 other name. Lineage: Bacteria; Pseudomonadati; Planctomycetota; Phycisphaerae; Phycisphaerales; Phycisphaeraceae.